Long non-coding RNA from Camellia sinensis, 554 nucleotides. RefSeq lists it as uncharacterized. NCBI's taxonomy places the organism in Eukaryota, Viridiplantae, Streptophyta, Magnoliopsida, Ericales, Theaceae. The record is from RefSeq and is a predicted model, not a curated record.
GUCUCCCCCAUGCCUUUGCCUUCCCCUCCUUUUUGCCUUUCGUUUUGCAAAACUCUCUCUCUCUCUCUCCCCAUGUUCACCAUUUUUCUCAAACUUUAAGCUUAAAAUGAGAGUCUUUAGAGUGAGAUUUUGUAAAAGUGUUGUAAACAAAAGUUGGAGAGCUCCUCUUGAUCUUCACAAUGGUAGUCUCAGAUUCAUGAUCAGGGAAUGCUUUUCGGAUUUGAAAAUCAAACCAUGGGUUUUACCAUUUCAUAAGUGUAAUGUAGUAAUGGAUUGUACUACUUCACUUGUCGUUUGGCCGAGUGCUAGGCAAUAGCAUGGAUGGACUUUCGGGAAGCAAGAGCUUCUUAAUUAUGUUUUGUUGUGUGUAUGUUGGCAUUUGUAAAGUCAAGGGCUUAAGACGUAAUAAGCGAGACUCAAUUUGUAUAAACAAGCAAUGACUUGGAAAGAUGUAAGCCUACAUGGCAUUUAACUGGUUGUUAAACAGUAGACUCUGAUGUAUGAAGGUAUGUUAUUUCUCAUAUUUAUUCCGCAUAUAAGUUAUCUUUAUUGUA